AACCAGGUUUAGACGGGUUCCCAGGGAAACCAGGUCUUCUAGGAAAAGACGGCCCUAGGGGGCUGACUGGUGCUCCUGGUGCAAGUGGAGUCAAAGGAGCAAAGGGUGAACGAGGUCCUGCUGGAUUACCUGGUGAUGC
Sinocyclocheilus anshuiensis is the source of this 139-nucleotide long non-coding RNA. RefSeq lists it as uncharacterized. The transcript has 3 exons. The record is from RefSeq and is a predicted model, not a curated record. Lineage: Eukaryota; Metazoa; Chordata; Actinopteri; Cypriniformes; Cyprinidae.